GCCUGGGUGGCUCAGUUGGUUGGGCAUCUGACUUUGGCUCAAGUCAUGAUCUCACAGUUUGUGGGUUCAAGUCCCACAUUGGGCU
This 85-nucleotide transfer RNA is filed under the name Felis catus (domestic cat). It matches the Rfam family "tRNA". Rfam says of the family: Transfer RNA (tRNA) molecules are approximately 80 nucleotides in length. Their secondary structure includes four short double-helical elements and three loops (D, anti-codon, and T loops). Further hydrogen bonds mediate the characteristic L-shaped molecular structure. tRNAs have two regions of fundamental functional importance: the anti-codon, which is responsible for specific mRNA codon recognition, and the 3' end, to which the tRNAs corresponding amino acid is attached (by aminoacyl-tRNA synthetases). tRNAs cope with the degeneracy of the genetic code in two manners: having more than one tRNA (with a specific anti-codon) for a particular amino acid; and 'wobble' base-pairing, i.e. permitting non-standard base-pairing at the 3rd anti-codon position. The record is from Rfam by way of RNAcentral. Lineage: Eukaryota; Metazoa; Chordata; Mammalia; Carnivora; Felidae.